This 497-nucleotide ribosomal RNA is filed under the name uncultured bacterium. Its description in RNAcentral is "partial 16S ribosomal RNA". It matches the Rfam family "Bacterial small subunit ribosomal RNA", at positions 28 to 507 of the family's 1533-position model. The record is from RNAcentral.
GAUGAACGCUGGCGGCGUGCCUAAUACAUGCAAGUCGAGCGAACAGACGAGGAGCUUGCUCCUCUGACGUUAGCGGCGGACGGGUGAGUAACACGUGGAUAACCUACCUAUAAGACUGGGAUAACUUCGAGAAACCGGAGCUAAUACCGGAUAAUAUAUUGAACCGCAUGGUUCAAUAGUGAAAGACGGUUUUGCUGUCACUUAUAGAUGGAUCCGCGCCGCAUUAGCUAGUUGGUAAGGUAACGGCUUACCAAGGCAACGAUGCGUAGCCGACCUGAGAGGGUGAUCGGCCACACUGGAACUGAGACACGGUCCAGACUCCUACGGGAGGCAGCAGUAGGGAAUCUUCCGCAAUGGGCGAAAGCCUGACGGAGCAACGCCGCGUGAGUGAUGAAGGUCUUCGGAUCGUAAAACUCUGUUAUUAGGGAAGAACAAAUGUGUAAGUAACUAUGCACGUCGUGACGGUACCUAAUCAGAAAGCCACGGCUAACUACGUG